GAUAGGCUAGAUCUGCAACCU
RNAcentral lists this microRNA (21 nucleotides) under Ananas comosus (pineapple). RNAcentral's name for it is "microRNA s0311_c103". The record is from RNAcentral. Lineage: Eukaryota; Viridiplantae; Streptophyta; Magnoliopsida; Poales; Bromeliaceae.